CCCUUAGAUGUUCUGGGCCGCACGCGCGCUACACUGACGAAUGCAACGAGCUUAUAACCUUGGCCGAAAGGUCUGGGUAAUCUCCAAAUUUCGUCGUGAUGGGGAUAGAUUAUUGCAAUUAUUAAUCUUCAACGAGGAAUGCCUAGUAAGCGCAAGUCAUCAGCUUGCGUUGAUUACGUCCCUGCCCUUUGUACACACCGCCCGUCGCUCCUACCGAUUGAAUGGUCCGGUGAAGCGUUCGGACCGUGGCCUUUGGACGGUUCGCCGUCUGUUGGCUGCGGGAAGUUGAUUAAACCUUACCAUUUAGAGGAAGGUGAAGUCGUAACA
Molecule: ribosomal RNA, 327 nt
Filed under: uncultured eukaryote
Lineage: Eukaryota
Description: partial 18S ribosomal RNA
Rfam family: Eukaryotic small subunit ribosomal RNA
Source: RNAcentral